CCUACGGGUGGCAGCAGUGGGGAAUAUUGGACAAUGGGCGAAAGCCUGAUCCAGCCAUGCCGCGUGUGUGAAGAAGGCCUUCGGGUUGUAAAGCACUUUCAGUGGGGAAGAAAGCCUUGGGGCUAAUACCCUCGAGGAAGGACAUCACCCACAGAAGAAGCACCGGCUAACUCCGUGCCAGCAGCCGCGGUAAUACGGAAGGUGCGAGCGUUAAUCGGAAUUACUGGGCGUAAAGCGCGCGUAGGCGGUCUGAUAAGCCGGUUGUGAAAGCCCCGGGCUCAACCUGGGAACGGCAUCCGGAACUGUCAGGCUAGAGUGCAGGAGAGGAAGGUAGAAUUCCCGGUGUAGCGGUGAAAUGCGUAGAGAUCGGGAGGAAUACCAGUGGCGAAGGCGGCCUUCUGGACUGACACUGACGCUGAGGUGCGAAAGCGUGGGUAGCAAACAGGAUUAGAUACCCUAGUAGUC
This 465-nucleotide ribosomal RNA is filed under the name Vreelandella stevensii. Its description in RNAcentral is "partial 16S ribosomal RNA". It matches the Rfam family "Bacterial small subunit ribosomal RNA", at positions 338 to 795 of the family's 1533-position model. The record is from RNAcentral. Lineage: Bacteria; Pseudomonadati; Pseudomonadota; Gammaproteobacteria; Oceanospirillales; Halomonadaceae.